RNAcentral lists this ribosomal RNA (364 nucleotides) under Scyra acutifrons. Its description in RNAcentral is "partial small subunit ribosomal RNA". Lineage: Eukaryota; Metazoa; Arthropoda; Malacostraca; Decapoda; Pisidae. The record is from RNAcentral.
UAUUAUACUAAAAUUUAAUAAAAACUAAAAUAUUAUAAGAUAUAGUCUUUAAAUUUAAAGAAUUUGGCGGUGAUUUAGUCUUUUCAGAGGAACCUGUUCUGUAAUCGAUAGACCACGAAGAAUCUUACUUAUUUCUCUUUAGAUUAAGAAGUUUGUAUACCGUCAUUAUCAGAUAAUAUUUAGAGAUAUAUUUAUUAUUAAAAAAAUUUUUAAUAAAUUAGAUCAAGGUGCAGCUUAUGAAUAAGUUAGAAUGGGUUACAAUUAAGUUUAUAUAAAAAUGAAAUAAAAUUUGAAAGAAUUUUAGGAAGGAGGAUUUGAUUGUAAUGGGAAUUAAUAAGAUAAAAAGAUAUAAGCUCUAAAUUAC